This is a non-coding RNA of Oryza sativa Japonica Group (Japanese rice), 1690 nucleotides long. The record is from RefSeq and is a predicted model, not a curated record. Lineage: Eukaryota; Viridiplantae; Streptophyta; Magnoliopsida; Poales; Poaceae.
GUAAGGAGGAUGGAGAGGAGAGAGAACGGGAGGAGAGGGGUGUGAAAGGGGUAGUUGAACUGUGGGCUGAACUGUGGACCAAAUCGAAGCCCAUGAUUUAUAUGGGCUGAACUGUGGCCCCAUCAACUAUAUGGGCCGAAAUGUAUCCCAUCAUUUUUAUGGGCCGAAACUAAGUCCAAAUGAAAAAGUUUACUACGACCACGAAGUCCUCCUUCCUCCCCUUCGCCUCCAAAGGCUCAAAGGCUCCGCGACGAAAGGCGAGGCGACCGCCGCUGCCGCCGCCCGCCGCCGCAGUCCUCGCCGCCGCCGGAACCGACCGUACGGCGUCCGCUGCAUUCCGAGUCUCCGUAGUCUUCGCGCCGCCUGAUGAAAAUUGUCUUGAGAUACAAGGAUCGAAUGCGAGUGGCCUGCCUUUCCCCAGUCACAGACCAGCAUGACACCUCUGUCAAGCGUAGCUAUUAUGGUCAUCUAUUUAUAUCUGAUUCAAAGGUUGGCUGACCAAUUUCAUUAAGAUUGGGAAGAAAGGCCUCACUGGAUGUUCAGAUACUAGAAUGUGGCUAUUGGGUGUUCAGUCAACAUUUGCAGGCCUGCCUUCAUGCAGAAACAAAAGGGGGAUCAUCAGUAUCUGUACCUUGUUGACUUGAUGAAGGAUGUUGCCCGGGGAUGAUUUCCCAAAGGCGUCGACCAUCUGCCCGAAGAUGAUGGUCAUGAUUACUUGUGACAUGCCGCUUGCAAGUGAUGCUAUGGUGCCAACCAGCAUCAACGCCACAUCUGUGCUGUCCGCAUACUUGAACAGAUAACUUGAACAGCCCAUGGCAGAAAUCAUGGCGAUAUCGACAGGAAUCUGAGGAUCCAUGUGUCUUUAAAGUCGUAUCCUCUGCUUCCAUCAGAUAGCUUUCACUUGAUCUGGGCAGGUAGUCUCUUAUCUAAAUGAAAAAUAAACUGCAAGCAGAUGCAGCCAGGGUGACCGCCCAAUUUUUAAAUGAGACAAUGCAGUCUGAUUGAAGGAUCUAUGUUCGGUUCCGUUAAGCAUCUCAUCUAUUGUGUCUUCUUCCUUUUGUUUCACGUGUGAAGGUGAUGUUUUAUCGGGAGUCUGUGUAGGAAUGUUUUUUAAUCUGUUGCUUUCAUGGGAAAAUCCAUGAUCAGCUGCCCAAAUUCGUUUUGUUUUACAACAUUACUCACAAACGAUUGGAAGCUACUAUUGCAGAUUGUCACAUCAGGUGUGUUGUGCCGGCGUCAAGAUGUUCCUCCUCUUGGGCUUUUGUCAGAAGCAAGGGCCAAGGGGUCACUCUGGAUUCUGCUGCAUGAUGCAGCAGCUGUUCAUGGAGUUCCAGCCUUCCAGGAGAUGGUGAUGGUCCUCGCGUUUAGAUUUCUUGCACCCAUUUCCAUCUCUAGUUGGAGAGAGGAUGAGGAAGGCGGCGGCGAUGCAGGGAUUAUGCUGCUGAUCAGUGGACCUUCAAUCGUAGAUUCACCACCUCAGAACAAUUUGGAUGGAAGAGUUUCAAAUUUUGUGCAGCAUUACGAACUGCAAAGUUGUUGCGUGACUUGAUUUUGUUGCCCUAUAGUCUGAUGAUGUACUUGCCAUUUGAAACGGCCAGAUUCUCGCUAAAGAUGCUCUGGCUCCUUUAUAAUUAGCAGAUGGGAAUUGAAACACUACUUGCAAAUUUUGCAAGGUUGUUACUACCUCAAA